RNAcentral lists this transfer RNA (76 nucleotides) under archaeon BMS3Abin16. RNAcentral's name for it is "tRNA-Lys". It matches the Rfam family "tRNA". Rfam says of the family: Transfer RNA (tRNA) molecules are approximately 80 nucleotides in length. Their secondary structure includes four short double-helical elements and three loops (D, anti-codon, and T loops). The record is from RNAcentral.
GGGUCCGUAGCUCAGUCUGGCUAGAGUACCUGCCUUUUAAGCAGGCUGUCGCGGGUUCAAAUCCCGUCGGACCCGC